RNAcentral lists this ribosomal RNA (468 nucleotides) under uncultured bacterium. RNAcentral describes it as "partial 16S ribosomal RNA". It matches the Rfam family "Bacterial small subunit ribosomal RNA", at positions 28 to 507 of the family's 1533-position model. The record is from RNAcentral.
GAUGAACGCUGGCGGCGUGCCUAACACAUGCAAGUCGAACGGACAGGCCCUGCUCUUGCGGGGUGCUCGAGUGGGGAACGCGUGAGUAACACGCGAGUAACCCGUCCCUGACAUUGGGAUAAAUUUAGGAAACUGGGGCUAAUAUCGGAUAGGAGAUCUUGCAGCGUGGGGGGGGAUGGAAAGUUUCGGCGGUGGGGGCUGGACUCGAAGCUUACCGGCUUGAUGGGGGGGUAGUGGCUUACCAAGGCUGCGAAGGGUAGCCGGCCUGAGAGCGUGGCCGGCCACAUUGGGCCUGAGGUACGGCCCAGACUCCUACGGGAGGCAGAAGGCGGGAAUAUUGCGCAGUGGGCGGGAGCCAGAUACGAAGGCGCCGCGUGCGGAAUGACGGCCUUCGGGUUGUAAACCACUUUCGCCUGUGACGAGGCGUGAGUGACGGUAAUGAGUAAGAAAGCACCGGCUAACUACGUG